UGGUUGAUCCUGCCAGUAGUGUAUGCUUCUCCUAAAGACUAAGCCAUGCAUGCCCCGAAUAUGAGGAAGCAAUUCUCUCUGAAUCUGCGAACGGCUCCGCAAACCAGUUGUAAACCACAGCAAGCCUGCAACGGUUGGACCUCGGUCUGGCCCGCGCGAUACGGAUAACCCUGGUAAUUCUAAGGCUAAUACGUGUAUGGAACACCCGGUGGACCGGCUUCGGCUGGGAAACCGGGAGACGAGUGAUGGAAUGUUUGGAUUACCAGGAACGGGCACUCGCCUUGACCGCGCUACAAAGGAUGAACCUUCGGGGGACUCCCAGCGGCUCUUGCGCGGUGCUUCUGACCUAUCAACUAGAUGGCAGCGUAACGGACAUGCUAUGGUAACAACGGGUACAGAGGAUUAGGGUUCGAUCCUGGAGAGUGGGCCUGAGAGAUUGCUCAUACUUCUAAGGAAGGCAGCAGGCGCGCAACGUUCCCCUUGGGCAAUGCUCGAGGGCGUUAGGGGACAUAUGAAUGCCCGCCCAUUGGGUGGGCAAUUCAAAUGGGUCUGUUGUAAACAGGCUCUCGAGUAACAAUUAGAGGACAAGUC
This 591-nucleotide ribosomal RNA is filed under the name Lamproderma scintillans. RNAcentral describes it as "SSU rRNA". It matches the Rfam family "Eukaryotic small subunit ribosomal RNA", at positions 5 to 561 of the family's 1831-position model. The record is from RNAcentral. Lineage: Eukaryota; Evosea; Eumycetozoa; Stemonitida; Stemonitidae.